RNAcentral lists this unclassified non-coding RNA (90 nucleotides) under Pseudomonas yamanorum. The record is from RNAcentral. Lineage: Bacteria; Pseudomonadati; Pseudomonadota; Gammaproteobacteria; Pseudomonadales; Pseudomonadaceae.
GUGGGAGCCGGGCUUGUCCGCGAUAGCGGUGUAUCAGUUGAUGUAUUGGGUGACUGACACACUGCUAUCGCGGGCAAGCCCGGCUCCCAC